UUACACGUGUGCGUAUAAGGUGCGAAGUGAGGCUGCCAAUUUUUGCACAAAAAUCCAUAAAUGGCUUGAUUUUUUCUUAUGCUAUUCAGAAUUUGCAGCGAUCUGACAACGGUCGUAGACGAGAGUGCCCCGCGCGGGGUGAAAGCACGGGGACACUAGAUGGGGGACAACCCGAUGCGCUCAAUAUAUAAAACAUAUGAGUUUGUCGCUCAUUUACUCACAGACACAUCUACAUCAUGAUCAGAGCAAUCUCGCUGUGUCUCGUAGCCCUCGCGCUAUCCGCACCGGCGCUAGCCGCGGAAAAAGAAACCAAGCCCUCGAAGCGCAGCUCCAUCGGGGACUACGUGCACGGCGACCUUGCCGCCCCGCCUAUGGAUACGGGAUCCCGCACGGGUAUGAGGUAGGUGCCGGCCAUGCUCUCGGCGCAUCCCUCUACGCCAAGGCUGCCCUUGGUUACGGCUACGGAGCCGCUGCCCUUGCCGCACCCGCCUACGGAGCCGCCUACGGAGCCGCCGUCGCUGCGCCAGCCCUAGGAGCCUCCGCCUACGGACUCGGAGCCGCCGCCAUCGCUGCCCCAGCUAUCGCCGCUGCCCCUGCCAUCGCCGCAGCCCCCGCCGUGGCUGCUGCCCCCGUUGCGCCGGCUGCCAUCCCCCACACCUACAGCGAAGUCCACCAAGCUGUCCCCUACCCAGUCGCACAGCCUUACCCUGUCACCGUCACCAAACCCGUCCCUGUGCCUGUGCCACAAGCCGUGCCUGUGUCCAAGCCUGUGCCUGUUCCCGUCUCCGUACCGGCGCCAUACCCAGUGACUGUCCCCCGUCCGUACCCAGUUGACGUGCCCCGCGCCGUCCCAGUCUCCGUACCCCAACCCUACCCCGUCUCUGUGCCAAGACCAGUCGGUGUCCCUGUCCCGCAGCCCGUCCCAGUCACCAUCCCUAAGCCAUACCCUGUCUCCGUCCCUGCACCUUACCCAGUUUCCGUUCCCACUGUUGUCGCUUCAGCACCAGCGGUAGCUCCCGCAGUAGCACCCGCCGUUGCAGCCGUAGCCCCAGCCGUUUACGGUAGCUACGGUGGAUACGGAGGUUAUGGAGCAGGUUACGGACUCGGCUACGGAGCCGUCGGUCACUCAGCUCUGCUCGGUUACUCCGGGCUUGGAUAUAAAUAUGGCGGCUAUGGUGGCUAUGCUGGCUACGGAGGAUACGGUCACGGAGGAUACGCUCUAGGAGGAUACAAAUCUUACGCUGCUGUUGCUCCCUACCAUGCGGCGACGUCUUUGUUGGGUGGAGCUCACGCUUACGGUAGCUAUGCUGGCUACAAACUCGCGUCGCCUUUGAUUGGUGGAUACGCUGGUCUCAAGUACUCGGCUCCUUACGCAGGCUACUCAAGUUACAAACUGGGAACACCCUACGGUAUCCACGGCUACCACCGUUAAGUUGGGGAUAGAUGUGCGUGAAAUCGCGCUCUCUGUGCCAAAUAUUAUGUUCAAAUUCUGAAGUGUUAAGUGCCAGAAGCGGGAAAGUUCUUCAAGGUUUGUUUUUUUAUUGACGUUUGAGGAUUUUUCCCUCGCACUGGUUUAGCUGCGCGGUCGAAGCGGAGCAGUCUAUAAGUUCAACAGAAAAUGUGAAAAUUUUAAUAAAAACAUUGAUUAAUUCCGCUGUCCUUGACUGUAAGAAACAGAGUACUGAUAAUUUUUAAAAAUGCUAUUCAAAACGGAAUGCAAAAUGGUGAUAUAAUUGAAAAUGUAAUAUGGCAUCGAUCGAAAAAAGAAAUAAUUUUCAAAUAUACUUCCACAUAUAACUCGACGUAAAUAGUGGGAUACAGAAAGGUCUUAUACCUCAUAAUUAUUCAAAUACUUUGAAUUUUAAAUCGAAUACUUCUAAGUUACCACGUGAUCUUACAGCGAGAAAACCUUUGCGAACCACCCAUUAAUUUCCUGAUCCUCUAUAAAAUAGACUAGGGUUGUCUUUGAGGAUAUUUUUUCACAUAAUAACGACAAGGAAACCUUUACUUAAAUUAUACGUAUUAUAAAAAGACUGUAAGCUAACUUAAAAGCUAUGAAUACGUCCUCUCAGCAGUAUUCGAAUAACGCUGCAUUUCUUAUGAUAGUCAUUAGGUUAAGAUACCUCGCCCUAACCUCUUUCGCUAAUAUCGAAUACGAGAUAUCCGUGUUCAACGUGAAUUAAAGUUACCAUUCAGUUACCAGGCGUGUCUAUCGCUGAUCAACGGUUGGAGCAAUUUUCUAACCAGAAGUUUGUUUUUAUGUUAAUGUUAAAUGUGUUUUGUUCUUUUUUACUUAAUUAGAUUGUAAGUUUUGAAGAAUAAACUUCUCAAAAAUUAAGAAGUCCUUUCCUCAUUUUCCUCAGCUUACCAUCAUUUUAUAGGUAAAAGAUGAAUUCGAUCAGUCAAUAAUAUACUCCUCUCCUAAGUUGAAAGUACUAAAACGAUAAAAAAAACUAAUAAAUCAAUUUUUUCUUCUUCAAAACGUAAUGGAGAAUCCGUUUGAAAUACUGUAAGAAUCGAUUCAAAUUAUGUCACAAAAGAAAAUUGUUCAUGACAUAGAUUGCCAUUAAGUAGAAUGUGUGUAAAAGUUACUAGUAAAGCUGACUGCAUUACUUUUUGGAGUGACCACGUAGUAACGAGAUAUUCUGUAUGAUAUAAAUUGCCUUACAACUUACAUGAAACCAUAAAACGAAUUUUCAAUCAAACUACUUCACAAAUUUUGUUAAUUUCUGAAAAGAUUUUUAUUUUUAAAGUAAGGCAGUUCUGAUGUAAAGAGGCUAGAGUUUUGAAUAAAAUCUACCUGAUUUUAUCAGCGGCAUUGAAAAACGAAUCUUUGAAGUCCGAACUUUAAAACAAUUUCAAAAGUCAAAAUGUUUAAAGGAACAUCGUAAAAAUGUUAUUUUAAAAUUUUACUGAAAGAAGAAAGGAAGAUACAAAAAUCAGACUUAUCAAUAAAACUUAAAAAAGAUAAUAGAAAAAAUUUCCGGUGAAUUUAAAAGAAGCAUCUUUAUAAAAAAUAAAUAUCGCGAUUAGGGAAUCGAAAUAAUAAAAAUGUAACACAUUCAUAAUCAGAAGUAUACACAAAAUCACAAAUUGAAGCAUAAGUUUUUCUCGUCUUACUUUAUCUCAAAAAACUUCCAUAAGACACGAAAAUUUGAUUAAAAUAAAUGGCAAAUAUUUAUCAGUAUCAAUUUCGAUAUUUUCAUUCCCGCUAAGCAUACAAAUGCUGUUAUACAAAAUUACCUUCUUUCUGGCAAUAACAGUUACCACACAGUUACUGGUAGA
This 3285-nucleotide long non-coding RNA is filed under the name Bemisia tabaci. RNAcentral's name for it is "lncRNA ENSSWEETPG013603". The record is from RNAcentral. Lineage: Eukaryota; Metazoa; Arthropoda; Insecta; Hemiptera; Aleyrodidae.